UGCCAGCAGCCGCGGUAAUACGAAGGGACCUAGCGUAGUUCGGAAUUACUGGGCUUAAAGAGCUCGUAGGUGGUUAAAAAAGUUGAUGGUGAAAUCCCAAGGCUCAGCCUUGGAACUGCCAUCAAAACUUUUUAGCUAGAGUGUGAUAGAGGUAAGUGGAAUUUCUAGUGUAGAGGUGAAAUUCGUAGGUAUUAGAAAGAAUACCAAUUGCGAAGGCAGCUUUCUGGAUCAUUACUGACACUGAGGAACGAAAGCAUGGGUAGCGAAGAGGAUUAGAUA
Molecule: ribosomal RNA, 279 nt
Filed under: uncultured bacterium
Lineage: Bacteria
Description: partial 16S ribosomal RNA
Rfam family: Bacterial small subunit ribosomal RNA
Source: RNAcentral